CUGUUUCUUAAAUAUUUAUUGAAUUUGACUUUUAAGUGAAAAGGCUUAAAUAAAUCAAAAAGACGAUAAGACCCUAUAAAUCUUUACAAUAAAUAUAUUUUAUAUUUUAACUUAUAAGUGUAUAAGAGAUAAAAAUAUAGAUUUGUUUCGCUGGGGCGGCGUAGAUAUAUAAAUAAACUGUCUAUAAUUUAAAUACAGUAAUUAUUGCUUAAUAUAAAUUGAUCCUUAAAUAGAUUAAAAGAUUAAGAUACUUUAGGGAUAACAGCGUUAUUUUUUUUGAGAGUUCUUAUCGAAGAAAAAGUUUGCGACCUCGAUGUUGAAUUAAAGUAUCUCU
This 334-nucleotide ribosomal RNA is filed under the name Lithodes confundens. RNAcentral describes it as "partial 16S ribosomal RNA". It matches the Rfam family "Bacterial large subunit ribosomal RNA", at positions 2048 to 2549 of the family's 2925-position model. Lineage: Eukaryota; Metazoa; Arthropoda; Malacostraca; Decapoda; Lithodidae. The record is from RNAcentral.